Molecule: long non-coding RNA, 552 nt
Filed under: Pan troglodytes (chimpanzee)
Lineage: Eukaryota; Metazoa; Chordata; Mammalia; Primates; Hominidae
Description: lincRNA
Source: RNAcentral
AAAUGAAACAUGCUGUGCUGGUUUCUGAAAACCAAGAAGCCUGGAGAGAAAUUUAUGACUUUGAAACAAAAUUUAGAGGUUGAAGGAUUUAGCAGUUUGCAAAGAACAUGGAGCUAAGCCCUUGAAAAAGGCUGUUCAAAAAGUCCUGGCCUAAAGUGCCAAGGUCGUUUUCAGAAGUCCCCGCAGAAGCUCUUAGGAAUCGGAAACCGUAAAAAUGGGGAGAGAGUAUUUUGAAGACAUCUUUCCCCUGAAAGCUGUUGCUUGUGAGCCUGUGCAUUUUCCCACACGAAUAUGCUCGGCCGUUAUGUUAGCCAGGCAUUUCCUGCAUGCGGCAGUUCUGGAGGCCGGAAGUCCAGGGUCAAGGUGACAGUGGAUUCGUUUCCUGGUGAGGACCCUCUUCCUGGUUUGUACAUGUGAUUCCUAGCAGUCUCCAUUUUGAAGUUCUCUUCUCCUUUGACCAAGCAUCCAGCACAUCCUCACAACACUCCAAAGCCACCUUGAAGACUCUCUUCAAAGCAGUUCUUACUGUUGAUACCACCACCAUUGUUCCGA